Helianthus annuus (common sunflower) is the source of this 694-nucleotide long non-coding RNA. RefSeq lists it as uncharacterized. The transcript has 3 exons. The record is from RefSeq and is a predicted model, not a curated record. NCBI's taxonomy places the organism in Eukaryota, Viridiplantae, Streptophyta, Magnoliopsida, Asterales, Asteraceae.
UCUCUCUCUCACACCUGUCACCACCUCCCACCACCACCAUUACCAUCUACCUACUACAGUUGUAACUAAACCGAAACCACCCACACAACCCACCCACCACUGUCCAACACCGCCUCCCCUGCACCGGUCUUCACCACCACCCUCCACCUCCACCUCCACCACCAAAUAAAGAACAACCGUCGACACCACCACAACCCUUCAUCGUCUACAACCACAUCACCACCACCCUCUACUCUCUACAAUCAGGCAGAAUGUCUAAAUCAACUCAAAAACUUUAAAAUCCACAAAAUCAAAAACCCCCAAAAUCCCCAAUUUCAAAAACCCAACAUUUCAAAAAUACUGUAAGGGAUCUACAAUUUAUCCAAGCCCUAAACAUUUAGUCGCACAAUCGCACAGGGGAACAGCAGCAAUGGAUUAUGUGAGCCCUGAAGGACUUCGUUUGGAUGGACGUCGCCCCAUGGAGAUGAGACAAUUUAGAGCAGAACUUGGUGCUGUUUCCAGAGCGGAUAGGACGGCGGUUUUUCAGAUGGGCGAUGGCGAUUAGAGGUGUUGGUGGAUGUUAUCCGGUGAAGGGUGAACAAUAAUGGUGGUGGUGGUGGGCGUUUGAUUUAGUUCUAUGUGUGUGGGGUAAUAGAAUUUAGAGUGAGAUAUGAGUUUAGAGAGACGAGAGAGAGUGACUGAGGUUCAGAUUUUU